GACGAACGCUGGCGGCGUGCUUAACACAUGCAAGUCGAACGGAAAGGCCCUGCUUUUGUGGGGUGCUCGAGUGGCGAACGGGUGAGUAACACGUGAGUAACCUGCCCUUGACUUUGGGAUAACUUCAGGAAACUGGGGCUAAUACCGGAUAGGAGCCCCUGCUGCAUGGUGGGGGUUGGAAAGUUUCGGCGGUCGGGGAUGGACUCGCGGCUUAUCAGCUUGUUGGUGGGGUAGUGGCUUACCAAGGCUUUGACGGGUAGCCGGCCUGAGAGGGUGACCGGCCACAUUGGGACUGAGAUACGGCCCAGACUCCUACGGGAGGCAGCAGUGGGGAAUAUUGCACAAUGGGCGGAAGCCUGAUGCAGCAACGCCGCGUGCGGGAUGACGGCCUUCGGGUUGUAAACCGCUUUCGCCUGUGACGAAGCGUGAGUGACGGUAAUGGGUAAAGAAGCACCGGCUAACUACGUG
Molecule: ribosomal RNA, 468 nt
Filed under: uncultured bacterium
Lineage: Bacteria
Description: partial 16S ribosomal RNA
Rfam family: Bacterial small subunit ribosomal RNA
Source: RNAcentral